AACGCUAGCUACAGGCUUAACACAUGCAAGUCGAGGGGCAGCAUGGACUCAGCUUCGCUGAGUUUGAUGGCGACCGGCGCACGGGUGAGUAACGCGUAUCCAACCUGCCCUUUACUCCGGGAUAGUCUCCUGAAAGGGAGUUUAAUACCGGAUGUGUUUGUCUUUCCGCAUGGGAGCGACAAAUAAAGAUUGAUUGGUAAAGGAUGGGGAUGCGUCCCAUUAGCUGGUUGGCGGGGUAACGGCCCACCAAGGCGACGAUGGAUAGGGGUUCUGAGAAGAAGGUCCCCCACAUUGGAACUGAGACACGGUCCAAACUCCUACGGGAGGCAGCAGUGAGGAAUAUUGGUCAAUGGACGAGAGUCUGAACCAGCCAAGUAGCGUGAAGGAUGACUGCCCUAUGGGUUGUAAACUUCUUUUAUACGGGAAUAAAGUGAGGCACGUGUGCCUUUUUGUAUGUACCGUAUGAAUAAGGAUCGGCUAACUCCGUGCCAGCAGCCGCGGUAAUACGGAGGAUCCGAGCGUUAUCCGGAUUUAUUGGGUUUAAAGGGAGCGUAGGCCGGAGAUUAAGCGUGUUGUGAAAUGUAGACGCUCAACGUCUGCACUGCAGCGCGAACUGGUUUCCUUGAGUACGCACAAAGUGGGCGGAAUUCGUGGUGUAGCGGUGAAAUGCUUAGAUAUCACGAAGAACUCCGAUUG
This 696-nucleotide ribosomal RNA is filed under the name uncultured bacterium. Its description in RNAcentral is "bacterial SSU rRNA". It matches the Rfam family "Bacterial small subunit ribosomal RNA", at positions 32 to 715 of the family's 1533-position model. The record is from RNAcentral.